This 1288-nucleotide small RNA is filed under the name Mycoplasmoides gallisepticum. Its description in RNAcentral is "bacterial LSU rRNA". The stretch from base 801 to 1288 matches the Rfam family "Bacterial large subunit ribosomal RNA", at positions 1 to 496 of the family's 2925-position model. The record is from RNAcentral. Lineage: Bacteria; Bacillati; Mycoplasmatota; Mycoplasmoidales; Mycoplasmoidaceae.
CGCCCGUCAAACUAUGAGAGCUGGUAAUAUCUAAAACCGUGUUGCUAACCGCAAGGAAGCGCAUGUCUAGGGUAGGGCCGGUGAUUGGAGUUAAGUCGUAACAAGGUACCCCUACGAGAACGUGGGGGUGGAUUACCUCCUUUCUAUGGAGUAUAUUAAUACACUAACACGAUAUACACCUGUUACAUAUAACGGUGAAACAAUUAAAACCCAGCAAGAAAAGUUAAACCCAUAAAAGCAAAUUGAUAACUUAAAAAUUGUUGGUCGGAUUCUAUUCAGUUCUCAAGGGGUAUUUUAAAAGCAGUUAUUAAGUUUUUUCUUUAAAGCUUUUUAACUUAAUAACACUUUAAGUUAACCUUGUAAACAUCAUUAAGUUUACCUUUCAAAGAUCCAAGAACAAUUAUUAAAACCUUUUUGGUCAGAUAACUAAUAAACUAACUAACUAGAUCAUUGAUGCAUAAUUAACUGCAUCAAUGAUUUUUUUUAUUAUUUUUACUGCAAAAAAUGCAGAUUUAUCUGUUCAAACCAAUGAUUUAAAAAGGCUUUUUUUAUUAUUAAUCAUUGGUUAUUUUUUACUUGUGAUUUUAGCUUUAAUGCUUAUAAAAAAAUCCAAUGAUAAAAGUUUUUUUAGAAAGGUGUUGUGCAAACUGAUUUAUUGUGCUAUAAUCUUUAAGGCUUAUAUAGCUACAUUGUUCUUUGAAAACUGAAUACGACAAAUCUUUCUAGUCCGAAAUUUGACUAAAGUAUCAAAUCAAAUUUCAUAUAAUAUAGAUUCAAUAAAAAUAGCUAAUGGAUCAAAUACAUAAGUUACUAAGGGCUUAUGGUGGAUGCCUUGGCACUAGAAGGCGAUGAAGGACGUGCAAACCUGCGAAAUGCUACGGGGAGCUGGUUGGAAGCGAUAAUCCGUAGAUGUCCGAAUGGGGGAACCUGAUUAAUAGUGAUAUUAAUCAUUUAGAUCUGAAUACAUAGGGUCUAAAAGCAAUACGUUGUGAAGUGAAACAUCUCAGUAGCAACAGGAAAAGAAAUCGAAAGAGAUUCCGUGUGUAGUGGCGAGCGAAAGCGGAACAGGCCAAACCAAGAUUUAUCUUGGGGUUAUAGGACUGCAGUGUGGACUUUGAACUGAUAGGAGAAGUAGUUGAAAAGCUACGCGAUAAAGGGUUAUAGCCCCGUAUCUUAAAUUGGUUUAAUACCUAGCAGGAUCCUGAGUAAAUCGAGAAACGUUAUCUUGAUCGAAGUCGCCCAGACCAUUGGGCAAGCCUAAAUACUAACUAGUGACCGAUAGCGUAUA